Molecule: ribosomal RNA, 200 nt
Filed under: uncultured bacterium
Lineage: Bacteria
Description: partial 16S ribosomal RNA
Rfam family: Bacterial small subunit ribosomal RNA
Source: RNAcentral
UACGUAGGGUGCAAGCGUUGUCCGGAAUUAUUGGGCGUAAAGAGCUCGUAGGCGGUUUGUCGCGUCUGCUGUGAAAACUCAGGGCUUAACCCUGAGCCUGCAGUGGGUACGGGGCAGACUAGAGUGUGGUAGGGGAGAUCGGAAUUCCUGGUGUAGCGGUGGAAUGCGCAGAUAUCAGGAGGAACACCGGUGCGAAGGCG